Alligator mississippiensis (American alligator) is the source of this 1503-nucleotide long non-coding RNA. RefSeq lists it as uncharacterized. NCBI's taxonomy places the organism in Eukaryota, Metazoa, Chordata, Crocodylia, Alligatoridae. The record is from RefSeq and is a predicted model, not a curated record. The transcript is spliced from 12 exons.
AAUGCCACUACAAAUGCUGUUUCCUUGGUAAUUCUAACCAGGAAUGCAAGAUAUUUCACAAGAGCACUGCAAAGUCCAACUUUGCAGAGUCGAGUAGAUCAAAAUGUUUUGUACAUGUAUCUAAACUGAAUCUGAACUCCACUUUCCACUAGUGAUACCUGGCUACUGUUUGUGCAUCUGUAUCGGGCACUCCACAUUGACUGACAGAAGCACUGAGAUAAUUGGGCCAUCAGGUUGGGGUGCCAGCAUAAUACAAAUGCAUCCUGCAAAGUGGCCAUCAUUUGAAAACCUGCAUGUCUAAAGGCAAUGGGAACUGCAGAUUCCUCAAUACCUCUGAAAAUUAGGUUUUUUGUGUAAGUGCUUCACGUAGCAUCUCCUGUUUAUGUCACCUGGACUCAGCUGCAGAUGAGCGCGCCUGAUGAACUGCAUGGGCGACUCUCCACAGCGUGCUUCUCCGCUCCUUCGAAGUCCUGCAACAGUUCAUACUCCUUGUAAACAAGGUUUUCAAAGACAUCAUGAAGACAGACAGAUUUCUAAACAGAGAAAACAAAAACCAGUUUUGCUGCCAAAUAGAGAAGACAGAAGACAAGAAUGAGAAAAAGGAGUAGAACGGACACAAAGAACAAACAAUAUAAUAUUCUUUCAGAUGUUAUCUUAGUUCCAUUGAUUCACUGCCGUAUUUGCAUCUAGAAAUGAAAGUGGAGGAUACAACUAGGGGAUCAUCUAUCUUGGAUCUUGUCCUGAUGAGCAAGGAAGAACUGGUGGAGGAUGUGAAGGACAGUUUGAAGGCUUUGUUUCCAUAUUGCUUGCUUUCACAAUUCAAUUAAAGUUAAGAUCAGCAUACAGAUCCUGCACACCUUGCUGCAGAGUGGGAUGUGAGGAGCCUCCUAUUGCCUGCCACAACCCUGCAUACCACAAGGCCUACUUCACAGCAGCUCUUGCAGCUUCCAACUCUUGCAAGGAUGAGCAGGAGGGGGAACAAAAGAAGGGACAAUCCACUGCUACACCUCUUCUGAGGGCAACAUGAUAAAAAGGAACUAGAAGACUUUAAAAAUACUGACCAAGAUGUCGAUCUCAGCAGAACUCAAAGAUCACCCCGUUGACUUCAGCUUAUGUGCGGCAUAACUGCGAAUCUGAUCAACCACUCUUUGCAUUACAAAGGAGCCAAUGUGCCUAUGUUUACAAUCAGCCAUAGCUUAGACCAAGAAAAAUAUUUUUAUCUGUACACAUGGGUGAAUCCCGGAACUGGAAACAGUGGGCUGCAGGAGAUGCCACCGCCGUCCCCUUCUUUCUCUUCCUCUCCUCUGACGCUCCUCCCAUGGUCACAGCAGGCCACUGCAGCAUCUGUUGGGGAUGUCUUGGAGCCCUUGAAGCAGGACUGGACUGUGUCAAGUCAGAGACGGAGCAAGUAUAAAUUCUGCAUACAUCUACUGAGAGCAAUUGUUAAGAUCCACCCUGGAUAUGGUUCCAGAGAAUUAUAAUAAUAAAUAACUGUUAGCUCAA